Molecule: long non-coding RNA, 557 nt
Organism: Labrus bergylta (ballan wrasse)
Lineage: Eukaryota; Metazoa; Chordata; Actinopteri; Labriformes; Labridae
Source: RefSeq, a predicted model, not a curated record
UUCCCAUCGAUCCCCCCCCUUACCCAUGGCAUGUUUGUUCUCUUUCUUUCUCAGCAUUGCCUUCUGUUCUGUUGUUUUAUCCCCUCUCUGUGGAUUUUGCCUCUCACCUCACAAGAGGGGGGAGAUAAGGAGGAAAGGGGUAAAAGGGAUACAAAGUGAAUAUAGCACGAAGCAGUUGGCCAGGAGACAGAUGCUGUCACAUUACAUGUUGGACUUAAAGGUUAAACAGAAACUCCCGGUCAAAGCGUCCGGGCCUCCUGAGUGCAGGGUCAAUAGAGUCAAGUCUGUUUGUAGCACCAAUGACCACUAUCUCCCCACGACUGUCCAAGCCAUCCAUCAAGGCGAGCAGGGUUGACACAAUAGAACUGGGAAGAGGGAGAAGAUAUUCUACAUAAAGAUGGAGAAUGGCAGCUAUUACCAUAAGGAUCAACUGCAAGCUGUAUCUGGAUAACAGGAUAUUUUCUCAACUUCACUACAUGUUGAAAUGGUCUAAAUAAGAAAUGGAAUUGUUGUGUAUUUCAGCUUGCAUUGCAAUUGCUGCUCAAUAAACAAAUAAA